This 491-nucleotide ribosomal RNA is filed under the name uncultured bacterium. RNAcentral describes it as "partial 16S ribosomal RNA". It matches the Rfam family "Bacterial small subunit ribosomal RNA", at positions 29 to 507 of the family's 1533-position model. The record is from RNAcentral.
AGUGAACGCUGGCGGUAGGCCUAACACAUGCAAGUCGAACGGCAGCACAGUAAGAGCUUGCUCUUACGGGUGGCGAGUGGCGGACGGGUGAGGAAUACAUCGGAAUCUACUUUUUCGUGGGGGAUACGUAGGGAAACUUACGCUAAUACCGCAUACGACCUACGGGUGAAAGCAGGGGAUCUUCGGACCUUGCGCGAUUGAAUGAGCCGAUGUCGGAUUAGCUAGUUGGCGGGGUAAAGGCCCACCAAGGCGACGAUCCGUAGCUGAUCUGAGAGGAUGAUCAGCCACACUGGAACUGAGACACGGUCCAGACUCCUACGGGAGGCAGCAGUGGGGAAUAUUGGACAAUGGGCGCAAGCCUGAUCCAGCCAUACCGCGUGGGUGAAGAAGGCCUUCGGGUUGUAAAGCCCUUUUGUUGGGAAAGAAAAGCAGCAGGUUAAUACCCCGCUGUUCUGACGGUACCCAAAGAAUAAGCACCGGCUAACUUCGUG